RNAcentral lists this long non-coding RNA (1851 nucleotides) under Homo sapiens (human). RNAcentral describes it as "HSALNT0326268". The record is from RNAcentral. Lineage: Eukaryota; Metazoa; Chordata; Mammalia; Primates; Hominidae.
GGGGUCCCCUUCCACACUGUGGUAGCUUUGUUCUUUUGCUGUUUGCAAUAAAUCUUGCUGCUGCCCACUCUUUGGGUCCACACUGCCUUUAUGAGCUGUAAAACUCACCACGAAGGUCUGCAGCUUCACUCCUGAGGCCAGUGAGACCAUGAACCCACCAGGAGGAAUGAACAACUCUGGCUGGGAUGAACAAACUUCAGAUGGGAGGAAUGAACAACUCCAGAUGUGCCACUUUAAGAGCUGUAACACACCGCUAAGGUGUGCAGCUUCACUCUUGAAGCCAGUGAGAUCAAGAACCCACCAGAAGAAAGAAACUCCAAACACACAUCCAAACAUCAGAAGGAACAAACUCUGGACACACCAUCUUUAAGAACUGUAACACUCACCGAGAGGGUCCGUGGCUUCAUUCUUAAAGUCAGCGAGACCAAGAACCCACCAAUUUCGGACACAACUUCUCCUUGAGCUAGGUGGACAUAGUGACUCAUUUGUAAGAAAUAAAAUAUAGCAAAAUAAUGAGCUGUCACUUCUCAGACUCUAAUUUCCAUCCUUCUUCCCUCUUCCAUUUCCUCCCUGGCUCUGAGCAAAGCCAGCUGCUAGGCUGUGAGCUUUCCUAUGGAGAAGUACAUGUGACAAAGAACUGAGGGAAGGCUUCAAUGCAAUAGCCAGCAAAGAAAUGAAUUAUGUCAACAACAACAUGAACGAGCUUGGAACAAGAACCUGUCUCCAUUGAACCUUCAAAUGAGAGUGCAGCCCUGGCUGCCAUUUUGACUGCAGCCUUUUGAGAGGCUUUGAGAGAGAGAGAUUUCAGCUAAGCUGCUCCCAGAUUCCUGAUCCAGAAACUAAGUGAAGCAUUUGAAGAGAAGAUAUAGGAUCCUCUCAAGCGUCUGUUAAUGUUGUUUUUAUCACUGGCAUCAAUUUUUAAUGUCUUGAGUUAUUUAACUUAGACAUUUCAAUGAUGAACAUUGUUAUGGAGGCUGAAUUGUGUCCCCUCUAAAAUUCAUAUGUUGAUAUUUUAUCCCCUAAUACUCAUAAUGUAAUGGUAUUUGGAAAUAGGGACUUGAACGAAGUAAUUAAGAUAAAAUGAGAUUAUAUGAGUGGGCAUUUAUCCAAUGUAAGUGGUCUCCUUAUAAGGAGACUAGGAGACAAACACGCACAGAGGAUCAUGUGAAUAAAGAGAGAAGAUGGUCAUCUACACACCAAGUUGAACGACCCUCAUUAGAAACCAACCCUGCAAACAACUUGAUGUUGAACUUCUAGCUUUCAGACCUGUGAGAAAAUAAAUUGCUGUUGUUUAAAUUACCCAAUCUGUGAUAUUUUUUAUGGCAGCUCCAGCAGACUAAUUCAGCAGUCCUUAUAGUUUCACAAACAGAAUAAAUAGAAAAAAAAUAAUUCACUGAAACUUGUUACCAUCCAACAGUAAAUGUAUUUAACUCAUCUAUAAACAGUUUCACAUAAUUUUCUCACUUAAAAAAAACUUCUGUUAAAAAAAGACAUUCAUUGGAGAUGCAUUUUGAAAUAUACAUAAUCUAAAUUUAAAAAUUAAAAAGUCAUUAUCCUUAAUCGGUUAAUAUUACAGUUUAUUGCCAGUGGUUUUUCUUUACAAACACAUACACUAAUGGUUCAAAAUAUCCUAACGCAUCAUGGAUAUUUUUUACAUAUUGUCAAUGUGACUUUGGGCAUAUUGUUAACUUCCGUACACCUCAGUUUUGUCAUCAGUAAAAUGAGGAUAAUAUGAACCGUUCAGGUUUUUGUUAAUGAUUUAUAUUAAAGUGCUAUAUACAAGGCACUUAAUAAAGUGCCUGGCACCUAGUAAGCAAACAAUAAGUGGUCUGUAUUAUUUGUAUGUCCUGC